AGACGCCCGGUCCCAUUCCGAACCCGGAAGCUAAGGCCUGGCACGGCGAUGGUACUGCACCCGACAGGGUGUGGGAGAGUAGCACGCCGCCGCAC
This 95-nucleotide ribosomal RNA is filed under the name Bifidobacterium breve. Lineage: Bacteria; Bacillati; Actinomycetota; Actinomycetes; Bifidobacteriales; Bifidobacteriaceae. The record is from RNAcentral. RNAcentral also lists the same sequence under 2 other names.